Molecule: ribosomal RNA, 117 nt
Filed under: Danio rerio (zebrafish)
Lineage: Eukaryota; Metazoa; Chordata; Actinopteri; Cypriniformes; Danionidae
Source: RNAcentral
UGUAGCAGCUGUAUCAUCCUGCAGCCCAAGACUGGUUACUCACUGAAGCUAAGCAGGGCUGAGCCUGGUCAGUACCUGGAUGGGAGACCACAUGGGAAAAAUAGGUUGGUGUUGGAA